ACGGGUGAGUAAUGUCUGGGAAACUGCCUGAUGGAGGGGGAUAACUACUGGAAACGGUAGCUAAUACCGCAUAAUGUCGCAAGACCAAAGAGGGGGACCUUCGGGCCUCUUGCCAUCAGAUGUGCCCAGAUGGGAUUAACUAGUAGGUGGGGUAAUGGCUCACCUAGGCGACGAUCCCUAGCUGGUCUGAGAGGAUGACCAGCCACACUGGAACUGGGACACGGUCCAGACUCCUACGGGAGGCAGCAGUGGGGAAUAUUGCACAAUGGGCGCAAGCCUGAUGCAGCCAUGCCGCGUGUGUGAAGAAGGCCUUCGGGUUGUAAAGCACUUUCAGCGAGGAGGAAGGCAUUAAGGUUAAUAACCUUGGUGAUUGACGUUACUCGCAGAAGAAGCACCGGCUAACUCCGUGCCAGCAGCCGCGGUAAUACGGAGGGUGCAAGCGUUAAUCGGAAUUACUGGGCGUAAAGCGCACGCAGGCGGUCUGUCAAGUCGGAUGUGAAAUCCCCGGGCUCAACCUGGGAACUGCAUUCGAAACUGGCAGGCUAGAGUCUUGUAGAGGGGGGUAGAAUUCCAGGU
RNAcentral lists this ribosomal RNA (576 nucleotides) under uncultured bacterium. RNAcentral describes it as "bacterial SSU rRNA". It matches the Rfam family "Bacterial small subunit ribosomal RNA", at positions 102 to 674 of the family's 1533-position model. The record is from RNAcentral.